This 76-nucleotide transfer RNA is filed under the name Alkalibacter saccharofermentans DSM 14828. RNAcentral's name for it is "tRNA_His_GTG". It matches the Rfam family "tRNA". Rfam says of the family: Transfer RNA (tRNA) molecules are approximately 80 nucleotides in length. Their secondary structure includes four short double-helical elements and three loops (D, anti-codon, and T loops). RNAcentral also lists the same sequence under 2 other names. The record is from RNAcentral. Lineage: Bacteria; Bacillati; Bacillota; Clostridia; Eubacteriales; Eubacteriaceae.
GUGGGUAUAGCUCAGCUGGCAGAGCGCCAGAUUGUGGUUCUGGAUGUCGUGGGUUCAAGUCCCAUUAUCCACCCCA